Molecule: ribosomal RNA, 444 nt
Filed under: uncultured bacterium
Lineage: Bacteria
Description: bacterial SSU rRNA
Rfam family: Bacterial small subunit ribosomal RNA
Source: RNAcentral
CCAGACUCCUACGGGAGGCAGCAGUGGGGAAUAUUGCACAAUGGGGGAAACCCUGAUGCAGCGACGCCGCGUGAGUGAAGAAGUAAUUCGUUAUGUAAAGCUCUAUCAGCAGGGAAGAAAUGACGGUACCUGACUAAGAAGCCCCGGCUAACUACGUGCCAGCAGCCGCGGUAAUACGUAGGGGGCAAGCGUUAUCCGGAUUUACUGGGUGUAAAGGGAGCGUAGACGGCAGUGCAAGUCUGAAGUGAAAGGCGGGGGCCCAACCCCCGGACUGCUUUGGAAACUGCGCUGCUGGAGUGCAGGAGAGGCAAGUGGAAUUCCUAGUGUAGCGGUGAAAUGCGUAGAUAUUAGGAGGAACACCAGUGGCGAAGGCGGCCUGCUGGGCUUUAACUGACGCUGAGGCUCGAAAGCGUGGGGAGCAAACAGGAUUAGAUACCCUGGUAG